RNAcentral lists this ribosomal RNA (396 nucleotides) under uncultured bacterium. RNAcentral describes it as "partial 16S ribosomal RNA". It matches the Rfam family "Bacterial small subunit ribosomal RNA", at positions 523 to 918 of the family's 1533-position model. The record is from RNAcentral.
AUACGUAGGGGGCGAGCGUUGUCCGGAAUGAUUGGGCGUAAAGGGCGCGUAGGCGGCCCGGUAAGUCUGGAGUGAAAGUCCUGUUUUUAAGAUGGGAAUUGCUUUGGAUACUGUCGGGCUUGAGUGCAGGAGAGGUAAGUGGAAUUCCCAGUGUAGCGGUGAAAUGCGUAGAGAUUGGGAGGAACACCAGUGGCGAAGGCGACUUACUGGACUGUAACUGACGCUGAGGCGCGAAAGUGUGGGGAGCAAACAGGAUUAGAUACCCUGGUAGUCCACACUGUAAACGAUGAAUGCUAGGUGUAGGGGGUAUCGACCCCUUCUGUGCCGCAGUCAACACAAUAAGCAUUCCGCCUGGGGAGUACGGCCGCAAGUUGAAACUCAAAGGAAUUGACGGGG